This 282-nucleotide long non-coding RNA is filed under the name Lathyrus oleraceus (garden pea). RNAcentral's name for it is "Pisum sativum (pea) long non-coding RNA (PSAT_LNC016332)". The record is from RNAcentral. Lineage: Eukaryota; Viridiplantae; Streptophyta; Magnoliopsida; Fabales; Fabaceae.
GAAACACCAAAUAAAUAGUCAAGAAAAUUAUGGAAGGUUGGAAAUAAAAUAAGAAGCAUAAAAUAAUUUUUUCAGAAUUUAAAAAUGCCUAAAAGUAUUUUUAAACCAAUUAAAACAAAGGAAAAAAUAGAAAAUUCAAGAAAAAUAGAAAAUCAAGAAAAUAAAAUGUGAAAAAAUAAAAAUCAGAUGAAGAAAAAUAAAAGAAAAUUUUAGAAAUUAUUUUGGGAUUUUUUGGAUGAAAGAUGAAUUUAUUAUGAAUUUUCAAAGAAAAUGCAAUUAAAA